GCGUCUCGAAAGUGCCUGAUUAGCCUGGUAAGAGGAAUCUGAUUAGCAAUUAGCAGGUCAGAGGUUCGAAUCCUCUUGGACGCACCA
RNAcentral lists this transfer RNA (87 nucleotides) under Candidatus Methylomirabilota bacterium. RNAcentral's name for it is "tRNA-OTHER". The record is from RNAcentral. Lineage: Bacteria; Methylomirabilota (SeqCode).